Molecule: ribosomal RNA, 696 nt
Filed under: uncultured bacterium
Lineage: Bacteria
Description: bacterial SSU rRNA
Rfam family: Bacterial small subunit ribosomal RNA
Source: RNAcentral
AACGCUAGCUACAGGCUUAACACAUGCAAGUCGAGGGGAAACGACAUCGAAAGCUUGCUUUUGAUGGGCGUCGACCGGCGCACGGGUGAGUAACGCGUAUCCAACCUGCCCACCACUUGGGGAUAACCUUGCGAAAGUAAGACUAAUACCCAAUGAUAUCUCUAGAAGACAUCUGAAGGAGAUUAAAGAUUUAUCGGUGAUGGAUGGGGAUGCGUCUGAUUAGCUUGUUGGCGGGGUAACGGCCCACCAAGGCGACGAUCAGUAGGGGUUCUGAGAGGAAGGUCCCCCACAUUGGAACUGAGACACGGUCCAAACUCCUACGGGAGGCAGCAGUGAGGAAUAUUGGUCAAUGGACGAGAGUCUGAACCAGCCAAGUAGCGUGCAGAAUGACGGCCCUAUGGGUUGUAAACUGCUUUUGUAAGGGAAUAAAGUGAGCCUCGUGAGGCUUUUUGCAUGUACCUUAUGAAUAAGGACCGGCUAAUUCCGUGCCAGCAGCCGCGGUAAUACGGAAGGUCCGGGCGUUAUCCGGAUUUAUUGGGUUUAAAGGGAGCGUAGGCCGGAGAUUAAGCGUGUUGUGAAAUGUAGGCGCUCAACGUCUGCACUGCAGCGCGAACUGGUUUCCUUGGGUACGCACAAAGUGGGCGGAAUUCGUGGUGUAGCGGUGAAAUGCUUAGAUAUCACGAAGAACUCCGAUUG